Molecule: ribosomal RNA, 483 nt
Filed under: uncultured bacterium
Lineage: Bacteria
Description: partial 16S ribosomal RNA
Rfam family: Bacterial small subunit ribosomal RNA
Source: RNAcentral
GAUGAACGCUAGCGGCAGGCCUAAUACAUGCAAGCCGAACGGCAAGUUUGAUAGCAAUAUUGGACCUAGAGUGGCGCAAGGGUGCGUAACACGUAUGCAACCUGCCCGCGACAGGAGGAUAGCUCCCCGAAAGGGGAAUUAACCCUCCAUAACACCAUGAGAGGGCAUUUGUUAUGGGUUAAACGCAAGGGGUUGCCGGAUGGGCAUGCGGUUGAUGAGUUAGUGGGCGGGGUAAAGGCCCACAAGGGCGGUGAUCAAUAGGGGUUCUGAGAGGAAGGUCCCCCACACUGGCACUGAGAUACGGGCCAGACUCCUACGGGAGGCAGCAGUAGGGAAUAUUGGACAAUGGUUGCAAGACUGAUCCAGCCAUGCCGCGUGCAGGAAGAAGGCCUUCUGGGUCGUAAACUGCUUUUUCCUGUGGAUAAAAUACCCGUGCGCGGGGAAUUGAAGGUAACAGGGGAAUAAGCCACGGCUAACUACGUG